Globicephala melas (long-finned pilot whale) is the source of this 4093-nucleotide RNA transcript. It is a transcript of the gene named cancer antigen 1, with no coding region annotated. The record is from RefSeq and is a predicted model, not a curated record. NCBI's taxonomy places the organism in Eukaryota, Metazoa, Chordata, Mammalia, Artiodactyla, Delphinidae.
CCUGCGCCGGGGCAGGAACGGCACAGGGACGGUUUUAUCCGCCGAUCCAACGGCCUCUGCGCGUGACGUCCGCCUAGCAAACCGCUCAGAAGCCCCCGCGCCCAAAGCGCGCGCCACGUGCGGGAGAUGGAAUUCCAAGCCUAGCAACCGAGCAACCCGGACAGGAAGCCCCGCCCCGAACGGAAUUCGUCUUCCCACCGGAAGCCCCGCCCCCGCGCCGGGCUGAGCGCCGGAAGUUCGCGUCCCGCAGGACGCGAGAAAGACACGAGGUGUGGGCAGUUCGUGUUCCCCUCGUUCCCCGCCGAGGCUGGGCUGACUGUUCCUUCCGGAGCUUUUCGAGUCUGCUCCCCGCUUUGUGUCCUCCCUUGGAAGGAGUCGUCAGCUAGCCCGGGGCUGCUGGACGUGGGGGUCUCACACCGAGUAACCUCCCAGCUCUGCGCAUGGAAACUUCGAGAGGGUCAGAGGGCGCGGGAGCCGGGCGGGCGACGUUGCGGCCGCGAGGGGAGGGAGCGGCCGGGCCGACGUCACACUGGGACGUUCCAGCGCUGCCGCAUCCCCGCUGCGAAGUGUGAAAAGCCGUGCGUGGGCAAGGUUGAAAGCGUUCUUCCCCCUCCUUCGUUACCCAGUACGGAGGGAGGCCGCCCGAAAUCCUUACUGUGGAGCCGAGCAACUAUGGUCCCUGGAAAUGUCAACAUUGGAAAUUACUCACAGAAUGUACUAACUCAGCCAGUUGACACCAGCAUUUCUUCCUUCAGACAAUUUGAACCCCUUUGCAAAUUUCAUCAGCCAGAAGCAUUUAAUAAUGAAAUGGUAACAUUUCAAAAUCUGACAGAAGGCUUAUCUUAUACAGAGGAGCCAGAAUUCCAACGUCAUGUGUAUAAUUAUGCAGAAGACACCAAUAUACAGGAAGAUUCAUUUAAGGAAGAAAAUCCAAAGGGAACUAGCACUUCCACAAAUAAAGAUCAACUUGUUCUUAAGUGUGUCAGACAACCUCCUAGAAGGCCACCUCUAAUCCACUGCAGUGGAGAGAUGCUGAAAUUCAUGGAAAUGUCACUGGCUAAUAGUACUGCCAUGGAAUCUUCACUCAACCCUAGUCAACCUCAAGUCUUCUUGUGUGAGGAAAAUUUACACAGUGAUGUUGAACAAGCACUUUAUAAGGAGAAUAGCUUUAACCUGCUUGAUCUGAGAGUUAAUUAUAAAACAGAGGAGAUUGCACAUUCUUCAAAAGGAAUACAGAAUUCUACGGAUAUUCCUGAGAUGUCAGUCAGGCACCAAAAGGAAGUCGCAGUGGAGGGGAGGGAGAGUCCAGAGAUUGUCUCAACUUGGUCUCCGAGAGGCAUUUCUUGGAGUGGUGGAGCAUCUUGGGAGGACUGCAUGACACCCGACAGAGAGCAGAGCUUGGAAAGCUCACAGCCUCUGGAAGAGGACAUGGCUUUAAACGAAGUCCUACGAAAAUUAAAGCAUACUAACAAAGAGCAGCAAACUCUGAUCCAAGACCUACAGCGUCGUAACAUGUAUUUAGAGAAGAAGGUUGAAGAACUGCAGAAGAAGACAACUAAAGAGCACGUGUUCGUGGACAUCAUCAAUAAGCUAAAGGAGAAUGUUGAAGAAUUAAUUGAAGACAAAUACAGAGUAAUGCUAGAGAAGAAUGAUACACAGAAGACAUUGCAGAAUUUGCAUGAGAUUUUAGUUAACACCCAAAAACAUCUUCAGGAAUCCAGGAAUGAAAAAGAAACCUUACAGCUAGAGUUUAAGAAGAUCAAGGGCAAUUAUGUUAGUCUACAGGAAAGGUACAUGACUGAAAUGCAACAAAAAAAUAAAGCUGCAAAUCAGUGCAUGGAGAUGGACAGAGCCUUAAGCAAGAAAGAAGAAGAGGUAGAGAGGCUGCAGCAACUCAAAGGAGAACUGGAAAAGGCCACCACUUCUGCUCUGGACUUGUUGAAAAAGGAAAAAGAGACCCGAGAACAAGAGUUCCUGUCUUUACAGGAGGAAUUUCAGAAACGUGAAAAGGAAAACCUGGAUGAAAGACAGAAACUGAAAUCUAGACUUGAGAAAUUGGUCGCUCAAGUUCAAAAUUUGCAGUUCAUAUCCGACAAUGAAAAGGCUAAGAAUACAGAACUCCAGCAGCAGAUCAACAAAGUAAAAAAUGAAAACUCAAAACUUCAGCAGCAGGUUGCAAGGAGUGAGGAGCAAAAUUAUGUUCCUCAAUGUGAGACAGCUCAACUCAAGGAGAACUUAGAGGAAGGAACAGAGUCAGAUAUGGCAAAGGAUGCAAAGAUGAUACAUUCUAAUUUGUUCCUGAAUCACUCACCUUGUGAAGGAGAGAGCCCGAAUCCCCCAGACGUGAAGAGAACUUCACAGCUGACUUCCAAAAUUCGCAGUCUUCUGGCUCUGAUGGUACGACUUCUCAUGUGCCAGGACAUCACCAAUCCCGAUGCCAGACAUUUCAAAGAGAGUGAGAAAGUUAAUGAUAUCAUGCUACAAAAAUUGAAGAGUUUUCAUCUUAAAAAGAAAAAAUUAGAUAAAGAGCUACUGAAACAUAAAGACAGAAUCACAGCUUUCAGAGAGUUAAUUGCUAAUGAAAAAUCAUUUCAAGAUCAGGUUACAGAGGUUACAGACUUGGAUUCAAAUGAAGCCAAGAAUGUCGGAGAGGUACCUGUCUUACUGGGAGCCAAACUGGAUCAGUACCACAACCUAAAUGAAGAGCUUGAUUUCUUGAUUGCAAAAUUGGGAAAUCUUCUAGAGUCAAAAGAAGACCACCGCAACAGACUCAUUGAAGAAAAUGACAAGUAUCAAAGACAUUUAGGCAACUUAAUAAAUAAGGUUACAUCAUGCGAAGAAGUUAUCGAAUGUGCUGACCGAAGGCUCAUGAUACCGAACUCCCAGAUUGCACAUUUAGAAGAGAGAAAUAAACAUUUGGAAGAUUUAAUUAGAAGGCCCAGAGAGAGCAUCAGAAAACCAAGACUGGGCAUCGAACUGAGCUGUGCUGAAUUCUUCACAGUGAGAAGGAACACGACAAGGAGCAAGGUUGGUUGAGUUUCAUCUUCCUUGGUUUGGUUGCCAGCUGGCAGAAUUACCUUAGAGCAAAAAAAAUCACUGGGCCUGCUGCAUAUUCAGCCAACAGCAAAGGGGAGGAGCUCCCCUGAGUGAAAAGAGGCUAAAGUAGGGACUUCCCUGGCUGUCCAGUGGUUAAGACUCUGAGCUCCCACUGCAGGGUGUGUGGGUUUGGUCCCUGGUUGGGGAACUAAGAUCCCACAUGCCAGGGAUCCCACGUGCCAUGUGGUGUGGCCAAAAAAAAACACCCCCAAAAAUAAAAAAAAAGGCUAAAGUGGGGAGCAGACAUGAAAGUUGCAUUUUCAUUAUAUCGUGGGUCAUGUUUGUUCCGAAUACCAUUUGCAAACAGAACUAUGUUUUGAAAAUCAAAAGCCUUUAGAAGGUUUACACUAUUAUUUGCAAAGUGAUAGUUUAACUAUGAUUUUCUCCCUAAUAUGAAAGAGUAUGAUCUGAUGCCUGGCAUAUUACAGAUGCUCAGUAAUCGCUAGUUUAAACUGAAUGUGAAUCUUCUCUGAGUUGAUGAAAGAAACUGUGGAAUAUUUUUUUCUGGAAUUAUUUUACAAUAAGAAAAUUUGCUUCUAAAUUCACACAUUUUACUAGUUCAGAUAUUUGUUUACUUAUACUUGGCCUAUCUUCACAGUAGAUUGGAGGCCCAUUUAUAUAGAUUUAGAGUGGCCUUGAAGCAAAGGUGUGAGGUGGAGUGGAAGAGCUCUCAGGCCCUUUCUAGCUGAGAAGACCGUUUCUUAGAGAACUUCAGGCUUGCAUCAGCCUUCAGCCCCGCACCAUCCAUGAGCCUCCCCUUGACCGCUGGGCCUCAGUCAAUUCAGCAUGCAAACACGCUUUAGACCACCUCUGCAUCGUCUCAGAAUUCUGGUGCUGCUUUUGCCAGUUGUCUUCAGAAGUGGAAACAGUGAGAAACAGGGAGAGAAAAACUGAGAAGGCAUCCGAAGCCCGUGACCGUGGUAGAUCAUACUGAUGAUCAUUAUAAAGAAUGCUGUAUUCCCAUGUAAUUGUCAAAUUACACAAAAUUAAAGAUGAG